Molecule: ribosomal RNA, 493 nt
Filed under: Platambus obtusatus
Lineage: Eukaryota; Metazoa; Arthropoda; Insecta; Coleoptera; Dytiscidae
Description: partial 16S ribosomal RNA
Rfam family: Bacterial large subunit ribosomal RNA
Source: RNAcentral
GUCCUUUAGAAAUUAAUUUAAGGUCUAACCUGCCCACUGAAAUUAUUUGAAGGGCCGCAGUAAUUUGACUGUGCAAAGGUAGCAUAAUCAAUAGUUUUUUAAUUAAAAGCUUGAAUGAAAGGUUGGACGAGGUAAAUUCUGUCUCUAUAUAAUUUAUUGUAGAAUUUAAUUUUUAAGUUAAAAAGCUUAAAUUUUAUUAAAAGACGAGAAGACCCUAUAGAUCUUUAUAUUUAAAAUAUUAAUUUUAAUUAAGAUUAAUUUAUUAAUUAAUAUUUGAAUUAUUUUAUUGGGGUAAUAAAAAGAUUUAUAAAAUUCUUUUUUUAUUUAAACAUUAAUAAAUGGUUAUUUGAUCCAAUUUUAUUGAUUAAAAGAUUAAGUUACCUUAGGGAUAACAGCGUAAUUUUUUUAGAGAGUUCAUAUCGAUAAAAAAGUUUGCGACCUCGAUGUUGGAUUAAAAAUUAUCUUAGGUGCAGAANUUUNAGAUUUUGGUCUG